Non-coding RNA from Caenorhabditis elegans, 21 nucleotides. The record is from Ensembl. Lineage: Eukaryota; Metazoa; Nematoda; Chromadorea; Rhabditida; Rhabditidae.
UGUAAUGUAACUGUAUGCCUA